CCCCUAGAUGUUCUGGGCCGCACGCGCGCUACACUGACGAAUGCAACGAGCUUAUAACCUUGUCCGAAAGGUCUGGGUAAUCUCCAAAUUUCGUCGUGAUGGGGAUAGAUUAUUGCAAUUAUUAAUCUUCAACGAGGAAUGCCUAGUAAGCGCAAGUCAUCAGCUUGCGUUGAUUACGUCCCUGCCCUUUGUACACACCGCCCGUCGCUCCUACCGAUUGAAUGGUCCGGUGAAGCGUUCGGACCGUGGCCUUUGGACGGUUCGCCGUCUGUUGGCUGCGGGAAGUUCGUUAAACCUUAUCAUUUAGAGGAAGGAGAAGUCGUAACA
Molecule: ribosomal RNA, 327 nt
Filed under: uncultured eukaryote
Lineage: Eukaryota
Description: partial 18S ribosomal RNA
Rfam family: Eukaryotic small subunit ribosomal RNA
Source: RNAcentral